UCACCUCUUUAAAAAUAAUUGAUUCCUUUCCCUUUACUGUGAUGUUUUACCUUGCUGAAUUCUUUUUCAAAAUAAGCCUAUUUUGUACUUAGACUUGAUUAUUUACUUCAUGCUUUUGCUGCCCCUUAUAUGGCAAUAAUCAAUCUGUCCUUAACUAAUUUUCUUUCCUUAAUUGAAAUUUGUUAGUACCUGUUAAGCCAUGAUUCCUUAAUUAAAAGGAAUCACUUGGCUUAAUUGAUUUUUAUGGUGAUUAUUUCCAUGUUUGUGUUAAGACUUUACUGAUUACCUUAUUUUUUACUCGUUUUAGAAACUAUAAAUACCUACACUCUUUUCUUUCAAAGACGGACAACUUGAGUUCAGAACACACACCUACACUUAAAACUCUCUCUUUCUUUUCUGCUACUUGUGUUAUUUCUUUGUCUAGCUGGCUGAAAGCCAAGGCUAGAAUGUGGACUCUUGUUUGCUUUACCUUUCUGCACUCUGCUUCUCUACUGGUAUGUCCUAAUUUACUUUUUAAGUCUCAACAACAAUAUGUUUCUUUAAGAUGCUUCAGUUUCUCAUUCAUGUCCACUUCUGCUCAUGUCUCUGCAAUCUAUUUAUGUUAUUAGCAUGCUGAAAUACGUUCCCUUCCAUUUUAUAAUUAUUGUUUCCCUAUAUGUGUACUCUGUCGGUCGCUUUUAUGUGAUUUGCUGACUUAUGAAUCCCAAACCCACAUAUCCCGUAUAUGUGUUCCUUUGGAUGUUUUGUGUCCAUUCCAGCAUCAGCUAUUAUUGUGCAUGACCAAUCCAGACCCCUGCUGGGGUUAUACAAUGUAUCCCAUAAUCCCUUCCCUUUUUAAAUUAAUGAUUCCCUAUAUGUGUACUCUGUUAGUCUCUUGUUAUGUGAUUUGUUGACUUAUGAAUCCCAAACCCCCAUAUCCCUUAUAUGUGUUCCUUUGGAUGGUUUGUGUCCAUGACAGCAUAAGUUAUUGCUGUGCAUGACCAAACCAGACCCCUGCUAGGGUUAUACAAUAUAUCCCAUAAUACCUUCCCCUUUUAGAUUAAUGUUUUCCUAUGUAUGUACUAUGGUAUGUGAUUUGCUGAC
This 1083-nucleotide long non-coding RNA is filed under the name Nicotiana benthamiana. Its description in RNAcentral is "long non-coding RNA (NBEN_LNC005234)". Lineage: Eukaryota; Viridiplantae; Streptophyta; Magnoliopsida; Solanales; Solanaceae. The record is from RNAcentral.